UAAUACAUGCAAGUCGGACGGGAUUGAGAGCUUGCUCUCAUGAGAGUGGCGCACGGGUGCGUAACACGUAUGUAACCUACCUUUAUCUGGGGGAUAGCCUCUCGAAAGAGAGAUUAACACCGCAUAAAAUCACAGUACGGCAUUGUACAAUGAUCAAAUAUUUAUAGGAUAAAGAUGGGCAUGCGGGACAUUAGCUAGUUGGCGGGGUAACGGCCCACCAAGGCUACGAUGUCUAGGGGAUCUGAGAGGAUGGCCCCCCACACUGGUACUGAGACACGGACCAGACUCCUACGGGAGGCAGCAGUAAGGAAUAUUGGUCAAUGGAGGCAACUCUGAACCAGCCAUGCCGCGUGCAGGAAGACGGCCCUAUGGGUUGUAAACUGCUUUUAUACCGGAAUAAACCCCUUUACGUGUAAAGGGUUGAAUGUACGGUAGGAAUAAGGAUCGGCUAACUCCGUGCCAGCAGCCGCGGUAAUACGGAGGAUCCAAGCGUUAUCCGGAUUUAUUGGGUUUAAAGGGUGCGUAGGCGGCCUGUUAAGUCAGGGGUGAAAGACGGUGGCUCAACCAUCGCAGUGCCUUUGAUACUGACGGGCUUGAAUGCAGCUGAGGUAGGCGGAAUGUGACAAGUAGCGGUGAAAUGCAUAGAUAUGUCACAGAACACCAAUUGCGAAGGCAGCUUA
RNAcentral lists this ribosomal RNA (680 nucleotides) under uncultured Sphingobacteriaceae bacterium. RNAcentral describes it as "bacterial SSU rRNA". It matches the Rfam family "Bacterial small subunit ribosomal RNA", at positions 49 to 728 of the family's 1533-position model. Lineage: Bacteria; Pseudomonadati; Bacteroidota; Sphingobacteriia; Sphingobacteriales; Sphingobacteriaceae. The record is from RNAcentral.